Molecule: long non-coding RNA, 2002 nt
Filed under: Triticum aestivum (bread wheat)
Lineage: Eukaryota; Viridiplantae; Streptophyta; Magnoliopsida; Poales; Poaceae
Description: long non-coding RNA (TAES_LNC009218)
Source: RNAcentral
CGAUAUUUAGGCAAGGGUCGAAAUUUAGUACAAGCAAACCGUAAUGGACAAGAGUUUCAAAAUGAUGAGGUUGAAGAUGAGGACAUAUUUGAGGUACUUGAUGAGAUACCAGAAAUGCUCCAAGAUAUAGGGCAUGAAUUCGGUUAAGUUGGGGACGAUGGUGGGAAUGAUGGUGACCUAAGGGAAGAUGGAAGUGAUCUAAAUAUAGAGGCUUUUCACCAAUUAUUAGAUGAUGCAGAUGCCAAACUUUAUCCCGGGUGCACAAGCUUCUCAAAGCUACACUUUGUAGUUAGAUUAAUCCACACCAAAUUUCUUGGGGUUGGAGUGAUAAGAGUUUUAACAUAUUGCUAGAGCUGCUUAAUAAGGCCUUUCCAGGGGACUCGCCGACCAUGGUUCUCAAUGGUGAUGAAAAAUGAUGCUAUUUUGCAAUGCCCUUAUGGGAAUGUGAGGACCAUGGCCAAUGCUCUCGGGCGAUCUAUUGCAUGACCUUGUAGAUAUUUUAAACUUCUUUCUAAUCAUGUCUAUUUCAGCAAUUGUAGGUUUCUCAAAUUGCUUCCUGUUGAUAAUCCUAUGUUUGCAGAUUGGGGUGUUCGUAAAGUUAUGCAGAAGCAACCAUGGCAGCCCAUAGCAGUUCCCACAGCUAGAAGGUAUUGUAUCUUCUUAGAAUUUUGGAAUAUUAUACUAAAGAAAAGAUAUGUUUCUCCUUUCACAUACUGAUGACUUAUUAUUUUUCUGAAUGAAGCAUGUGCUCGAAAGUAGGAACCUACAAGUUUCUUAUUUCCUCCUUAGCAACUAGUACUUUUUUUGGUUUUCCCAGUAGAUAAAAAAUGUGCCUACUUUCAAACAUAUGCUUAAGUCCUUCUAUUCUGAAUCACAACCAGCAACUCUGUUUCUUGUUUCUUAAAUAAUUCUGCAGCUACUACUUAAUCUUUCCACAGACAUUUAUGUGCCUGCAAACUCUUUUCCUGAAACCAAGUGCAAACUUAAUCAGUGGGCUGUUCACUUGGUAUACAUUCUCAUAACUAUUGAUGACUAUCCCAAAUUAUUAGGGCCCCAAUUUUGCACGUAAUAGUAAUCCUGACUCCUGACUAGUAUUACUAGUGACUAUCCUAAUGGCUACUCAAUAAACUUGACAAGUUACUAGCUUGGGGAUCACCCUCAAGGCCUCAACCAACCAUCUGGUUAUUUACCCUAAAACCCAUCUGUUUAUUUAGUCGCCGUUUUUUCUGUAAUAUAGUUUCCUUUUCUGCAAUUUCUUCUAGCACUAGAAUGUAUUACUUUUGAGUUACAGUGAAAAUCACUUUUUGAUAGAAUGUAGUUAUUCAAACAAUUGCACUGCCAACGUGAUAUAUAUUAUAAAGUUUGCUUUCUAAUUUUGAAUGACAUUUAGGGCCUAAGUUCUGAUUUUGCACUUGGCCCCUGUUUUUGAAUGUUUUGUUUACUUCACAGCAAUCAAGAGAAAUUAUACUACACCAAAAGAUGACAAUUGGUAUAUAUUUAUAGUGAUAGGUUACAUUGAUUUUCCUGAUGAUUCAUACAUAGUGCACAAUCUGUUCAUAUGAGUACAUCCACACAUUCUUUCUAUGCCUUGUGCAAUGCAAAGUACAGGGUAACACACAUGUGUCUUUUUGUUUGGAUGAGUUGAUUUUCUUUUUCAACCCAUGCAACUUCUAUGUUUGGAAGAUGUGUUCUUCCGAGCUGAUCUAUUUGGCCAUUACCUUUUUCUUUACAGGUCACCAGCAUAAUGCCUUUGCAUUCACAAGUUUCAAGAGGUGUGUUUGGUGAGGCUAAAAGGAUCUUCUGCUGGGAUAUGUUUCUACCUAAAACCUAUUUUGCACUUUUGUCUAUGAUGUAAUACUUUGACUUAUGAACCUACAACUGUAUGCAUUUAGACCUGAUGGAUGGUUGUGCUUUUGGCUGUCCUGGACUUGUGAACCUAUAUAUGUAUGGAUUAUGUAUGGAUGGAGACUUGUGAAUCUAUGGAUGAUGGAUUGCUCAUAAG